RNAcentral lists this long non-coding RNA (1615 nucleotides) under Nicotiana benthamiana. RNAcentral describes it as "long non-coding RNA (NBEN_LNC018366)". The record is from RNAcentral. Lineage: Eukaryota; Viridiplantae; Streptophyta; Magnoliopsida; Solanales; Solanaceae.
CCAAAUAACCAUUGCCCCCCCCCCCCUCCGUUCCUCCACCAUUCUUGCAUUAAUACACAUACACGGGCACAAAAAAAAAAAUCAAACACGACCGUGACACUUCUUGAAGAUCUAUGCCGCCGUCGUUCUUUCUCGUCACCAGCCUAGCCGGAGAAAUCUAAUACAUACACUGCUCUCCAUUCUCAACGUCUCGCCUUUCCCUUUGACUAUUAUGAUGGAGAUGUAUAGUAAUAGAGAUAGAAUAUUUCCUGAAAAUACUCCUUAACCAUCGAGCAUUCCAGUCCAAAGUCCAAGAAUCGAUUCGAGGUGGUCUUUUGAUUUUGGUCAAGGUUCAAUUGAGUCGGAGUUUUUGUUAUGGGUUCCGAUAUGUUGUCGUUUCGUGUUGGUUGAGGUUCGUCAAGGUUGUCGCUGCCUGCCGGGGUUUGGUCCUUGAUUGCUGGGUUUUGUAUUUAGUUAUUACUCAGCAGAGAAGAAGCACUUUCCGAGCUAGUUUUGUUGUUUGCUAGUGGACGCACAGAUCCCGACGCCGGAUUUACUUGUAAUAACUGCUUAAACUAGUUUAAUCAAGGAUUAAAUUCAGCUAUGAAAUCUGGUCUGGUCUAAUUUUGUUUCUUCUGCUGCGAUUUUGGGUAUUUCGAUUGAUGUUGGCGCUGUGAUGAAUGUCUGUUUGCUGCUGUUGCUUUUCGCCGGAUUCGUAGCUGAGCUCCAGCUUUAGUGUCCCGUCUUUACUUGGGCAUUUUUGUUUGUUUUCCGGCAGUUGAGCUAAUUUCUGUUUGAAUUCCAUGAGUACGUUCAGCUUAGGUUAAUUAAUGCCGAAAAGGAAAUCUCUCUCAUUGAGUUUUGGUUUUAACUGGAAGAGUAUGUUCAUCUUAGGUCUAAUUAACACCGAAAAGGUCAUCGCUCUCAUUGAGGUUCAACUCUUCCACCCUUACUCAUUUUAUCUUAGAUGAAUGUUGAUUAUUUUUUUGUUAUUUGAUUCGAUGAUAUGUUUGGCUAUUGUCUCCGAUUCUGAGUUUGUUCGUUUAGUUACCUACUCAUAUAUUACUCGAAUUGGGUUAUAGUUGAACAUGAUUUAAUCAAAAUAUAGAAAUUGGGUUGUUGGGUAAAAUUGAAACAAAAAUUUAGGUUCAAGAUAAUAAUGUUGUUCUUUUAUUCUUGUUUUAGCUAAUUUAAUCGCCAGGAGCAUGCUUAGGCCGAAAACACUUGGGUAGGCAAACCCUUAGGAUGUUCGUAUUUUAGUUUUGAGGCGAGAUGUCGUUUCCCAUAGUUAAAUUUAUCCGGGGAAUGCCCCGAAGAAUAUGUAUAUACUAUUAUCCGGGGUAUGGCCCGAAAUAUUUGUAAUUAGAGAGGGAAAGUAGAACUCUUAAUAUUUUUAUUUUUAACUUUUACUUUUUAUUUUUCUUUCAUUAGGUGGGGACGACCUUGAGCCUUUUGUGUGUUUAUUAUCUUUUCCUAUGUUUUCUACCUCAAUCGAAUAUUUUAAUAGCCAACAUGAUCGAGUACGCAACCGUGACUUUCACGAGACUUGGGGAGUGGCUAACACCUUCUCCGCGAGUCAAAUAAACCCCCUUACCCUUAUCUCUGGUGCAGAUUUAGUUUUUGGAGCCUGAAGUGU